This 253-nucleotide ribosomal RNA is filed under the name uncultured bacterium. RNAcentral describes it as "partial 16S ribosomal RNA". It matches the Rfam family "Bacterial small subunit ribosomal RNA", at positions 524 to 776 of the family's 1533-position model. The record is from RNAcentral.
UACGAAGGGGGCUAGCGUUGCUCGGAAUCACUGGGCGUAAAGCGCACGUAGGCGGAUCUUUAAGUCAGGGGUGAAAUCCUGGAGCUCAACUCCAGAACUGCCUUUGAUACUGAAGAUCUUGAGUUCGGGAGAGGUGAGUGGAACUGCGAGUGUAGAGGUGAAAUUCGUAGAUAUUCGCAAGAACACCAGUGGCGAAGGCGGCUCACUGGCCCGAUACUGACGCUGAUGCACGAAAGCGUGGGGAGCAAACAGG